UCCGAGUGGUCUCAGGUUCUGGUUUUUGGGGGGGGGGCAUACCUUUUGAUCCAGGUCCAGGUCCAGGAGGAGGACUCCCGGGGUCUAUGCUGUUGAUUGUUUUGAAUUUCGGUGUCCUAGGAGCAUUCGAUUUGAGAUCGGUUUCAGGAGAUCUGAACUUUAGCUUUCUCUAAGCCGCCAUCUUGACUGGAAGCCUUCUAUUUUAUGUUAAUUUCACACAAAUUCAUGGAGGAUAUUUGCAAAGAAUGGUUUAAAUAAUCUAAAAUACAAGAAAUAGUGUUCCUAGAAACUGGAAAGGGAUAAAUUGACAACAAAGAAAAAUUAAGGGCUAUUUCAUACAAUAAAUUAUCUAUAGCAGAAAUUGAUGCUUUGAUUUUUGAUAAAAACUAAAAAUAAACAUGUUCAAAUAGAAUUUUAAUAAAUGUAUGAAUGCUGAGUAUUCCAUGAAUAGUAAUUUAGCAAAGUUAUAGAUAUUGGAAAAUGUGAGGAGAUUUAUAUGAUUAACCAUUUUUAGAUAAUUGUAAGGAAAAUAUACUCUCUUACCCAACAUCAAUUAGUGACUAUCCAGAAAAAGAAGUGAAAAAAAUUUUAUUACUAAUAUUGUUCCAGAAAUGCUACUUACUUGAAGUAAUAAUUCUUAUAUUUAAAAUAAUAAUUUCUCCUUUUAUGGUUUGAAUUUUAGAUCCAAAAAUGACCUUUAAGAAUAUCUAGUCUGAUUAAUCUUUUUUCUUUUACAAAUAAGAACUCUGGCACAGUUCGAUUUUAAGAGGCUUAUUCUAGGUCAGCAAGGUAUCUAGUAGCAACGUGGUUCAUAGCUUGGGCAUCUUGACUUCUGGUAGUAUUUCACUCAUCCAAAUAAUUAUCCAAAGUAGAAAGGACUCUCAAUAUGUUCAAUGUAACCUAUUCAUACUAAAAGAACUAGUAAGGGAGGUAGAGUAGAUGGAGUGCUAGACAAGGAAUCAAGAAGAUCUUAGUUCAAAUCCUUCCUUAGACACUAACUAGUUUUAUGACCCUGGGCAAAUUAUUUCUAUAAACAUGUUUCCUCAUCUGUAAAAUCUGUUAAAAAGAGGUUUGGACUAGGUGGCCUUUUAGCUCGAGCUCUUAAUCUGAAAGCACUUUGAGUAUUAAAAGAAAUAAAACUAUUCUUAAGUUACAUAUCAUUCAAGAAGGGGCAUGACUGAUUGGAUAGAGAGUGGGCUAAUGAGUAAGGAAAAUUUGGGUUCAAAUCUUCCAUGUGAUAUAGAGUGGCUAUAUGACUGUGGGCAAAUCACUUAACCUUUCAGUGCCCUGGACAGCUUUGCAAAACUACAAAUUUCACAUGAGAUGUUGAUCUUAAUGGGUAUAAAGGAUUUCCCUCCGGAGUACGAAUGAAAUCAUCAGUUCAGAUAAUAACAACAUCAAUAGUAAUAAUAAUUUAAUUAUAUAGGAGGCAAGGAAGAGUAGUUUUUUGGCCCCCAGAGAGGAACCUUCAUGCAGUAAAGUCAGUUUGUUUCUACUCUUCCAAAUAAAGUCAUGUUUACCUUUUAGGGGGUUAAUGUCUUGUUCAGACUUGGGCUCAGUGAGGUAAACUGAAAUAUGCCUAUUGUCUUGAGGCAACUUAUAUCUUAUUCAAAUGCUUCAGAUGCAAUAAAGCCUCAUUGACUUGGGUCCGCCCCUGUAAACCUCAAUUUUUAGAAGCUUUCAGUGUCAAUUACCUCCCACAACAAAGCAGUCAGCAAGUCUCUUGGUAUUGCCCAGAGUGUCAUAUCAUCAAUCCCAAACCUGUUUACACUUCACAGUAAAAUUUAAUUUCUUGUAGUUCCUGCUGAGAGUUAGGCUGCCUUAAUCAAUUGAAUUCUUAAGGAAAAUGAGAGUCUCUGAGGUAAACCAGAACUUAUUAAAACUGAGCUUCCAAUCAAAAUUUCCAGAAGCAAUGGGGUUUCCUAAUUCAGUUCAUUCAAUACAUGCAACUCAGCAGUUUUCAGGCUGUAUUUGCUGGGAUGUGGUGAAUUCUCUCCCAUUAAGAAAAGUUGAAUAGAAUUCAAUUCAUGCAAUAUUAAUAACUUGCUCUACUUUACAGCUUAGUAAUAAAGUUAUUUAUGCUGCCAGCGGCAUUUAGUGACAUUAGCAUUGGAAAAAUAUCACUACACAGGCAUGGCCGGGACUAUGCUAUUUAAAAACUGAAGAACUUCAGCAAAGCUCUGCAAUACUACAAAACAUAUCUUGGGACAAAAGGAAAAAGGACUCUGGGACAACGUAUUAGCAUGUAAAAGCAAAGAAAAAUAUUCUAAAAGAAAAUGAUGUGGCACUGUCUCUCAAAACAAAAGAAUCAGGAAAAUGGGUCAGAGGUGUAAUCAUAAUGAGUAAGCAAAAUCUCUAUAAAGAUGAAAGUGUUGAUGGAAUACAAAUUCUCUCUCCUCAUAGAUCAACUGCAUUUUUUCAAUAUCUAGUUAGACCCUGGCCAGAUUUCUUUAUAUAUAGGCAAAAUUUUUGUUCUGGGACCUUUUUUAUUUUUCCUAAUACACACAAUUAUAUUAAUACCAAUUAAGUGUCAUUUAAUUAUUAUUUGAUAUGAUUUCAUGUGUGUCAGUCUUAUAUCCUCUUGUAGAUUACCAAUACUGUAAUAAUGAUGAUCACAGUAGAAAUAAUAACAACAAUGAUGAUUGUUGGUGAUGAUAAUGGUGAUGAUGAUGCACAGUGUAUAGAGAUCCAUCUUCAAAAUCAGGAAGACCUAGGUUGAAGAUCUCUGAGGUAUUGGCUACAGGUAAGAGACUUAACCUCUUCAUUAUCCAACUAGACUACACUGGUAGAGUGAGAUCCCUCAAUCUAAUUAGUUCCUUACACCAUUAAAAUUACAGACUAAGUGCCUAUCUUGUAACACUUAGAGGGAUCAGGGCAGAGUGCCGUGUGGAUACUGAAAAGAGUGUUACACAGGAAGGCUGGAAUACAAAUACAAAUAUCACCUCUGAUAUUUAUUAUCUAUAUGACCGAGUCAUCUAACUUCUUUGAGUCUCAAACAAUUACCUAGAACUUCUGUUUUGAUUCAUGGGUGGGUAGCGAUCAGUACUUGUAUAAGAUUGUUUAAGUAAUUGUGUUCAGAGAUUUACAAAGCACCUUCUUCAUAGAAAUGCUGGAAGGAAGAGAGGUGCUACAGGGUGCAAAAUGAAUAAGAUGGAGUUAGAAGGCUGAAUCCUGACUUCCAUGAUUUGCCACUACUCAUGUGUCUUUAGUAAGUCUCAAUUCUCUAUUUGUGAGAUCAAAGUGCUUGAUCAGAUAACCUGGCAAUUCCCUGCCAUUUCUAAAUCGAUCUUCAUUUUACAGAUAUGGAAACUGAAGCUCAAAAUAAAAUGAAUGAAUGAAUGAAAAAAUAAAUAAAUAAAUUUAUUAAUUAAAGUGGACAUCCCAGGAGGAUAGAACUAAUAAACCACAAAGUCUGGAUUAAAACCCAGAUCUUCUCAUUUCAAAUCCAAGGUUCUACCCACUACAAUAACAUGCCUUCUCAGUGACCAUGUCUUACUUAAUUCUUCUCAGUUCCCUCCACAGCCAUAUGUGCCAUUUCAGAGAAAGCCUAGAUGAAGGAAGUUACUGGUAAGCAAAAUCCUCCCACCAGUGCAAAUCAUCUCCAUCUCUGAGACUUACAGCCUUGAGAGGUGGCUGGAAUUCUAAAAGUGCCAGCUAGAUGGCGUAAUGGAGAGAGUGUCAGACUGAAGUCAAGAAGACUCAUCUCUGGAGUUUACAUCUGACCUUAGACACUUAGUAGUUGUGUGACCCUGGAUAAGUCACUUACUCCUGUUUGCCUCAGUUUCCUCAUCUGUAAAAAUGAGCUGAAGGAAAUGGCACUCCAGUAUCUUUACCAAGAAAAUCCCAAAUGGUGUCAUAGCGUCAGACAUGAUGGAAAUGACUGAACAACAACACUUCCCCAUGCCUAGUACAUUGUUGGUACUUAAUAAAUAUUUAUUGAAUUGAAUUUUACAAAUAGAAAA
Molecule: long non-coding RNA, 3962 nt
Organism: Monodelphis domestica (gray short-tailed opossum)
Lineage: Eukaryota; Metazoa; Chordata; Mammalia; Didelphimorphia; Didelphidae
Source: RefSeq, a predicted model, not a curated record